RNAcentral lists this ribosomal RNA (369 nucleotides) under Triticum aestivum (bread wheat). RNAcentral's name for it is "partial small subunit ribosomal RNA". The record is from RNAcentral. Lineage: Eukaryota; Viridiplantae; Streptophyta; Magnoliopsida; Poales; Poaceae.
AUGUCGAUGGUACUGUGCACAUGCGUUAAGCCGUUUUACAACAUAGCGCUAAGCCGUUCUACGCAGCUCAGGGAGGUGAAGGAGCUCCCCUUGGGUUCAUCUUGCAGGUUUUGUUCAAAUCUUGGCCACCUAGGCCGUUCAACAACACCACUAGAGCACGUUCAGUUGGUGGCGUUCCAACUAGCCACUCAAAGUUGUGGCCAUUUAAUGACACUUUCUACAUUUGAGACAUGUGAAACUGUAGCCUUCCAGUGUUACCGUUUGGUAGCUCAGGAUGCUUUAUGUUUUGGAGAUCUACAGAGUGACUAUCUGAGAGCUGUGUUGGACUUUCUCAUUACAGCAUGGAACUUCUCUAAAAAUCCCAGUUGA